RNAcentral lists this long non-coding RNA (389 nucleotides) under Capsicum annuum. RNAcentral describes it as "long non-coding RNA (CANN_LNC017399)". Lineage: Eukaryota; Viridiplantae; Streptophyta; Magnoliopsida; Solanales; Solanaceae. The record is from RNAcentral.
ACGCCUCGGGCAUCUUUGCCGUCCUGAAAAUUUCAUUGAACAAUGCAGUCAACCACCUUACACCAGCCUCUCCAACGAACUUCCAAAACUCCACCGGUAUCUCAUCCGGCCCCGUCGCCCUACCCCUUCGCAUCCUGCGGACUGCCUGUCUAACCUCGUCUACCUUAAAACGUCUACAAUAGCUAAAAUCCCGACACUCCCCUGAGUGCUCCAGUUCCCCUAACACAAUAGCUCUGUCCCCCUCGUCAUUCAAGAGCCUAUGAAAGUACGACUGCCAUCUCUUCUUUAUGUGACCGUCCUCCACCAACACUCUACCGUCCUCCCCCUUAAUGCACCUCACCUGAUCGAGGUCACGACCCUUCCUCUCCCUAGCCUUAGCGAGUCGGAAC